AUGCAAUUCCUCUUUAAACCCCCAGUAAAAAGCUGGCCACUUCACACUGGGCUGGGCACUGUUCCAGAAUCCUCAUGUAACGUCACAGUACUUGCCAAGCAUUCUGAGGGCAUAAUCCCGGUUGCAACCAGUCAACAGCAUCUGCUGCUUCUUGGCACAGAGGGAAAGAAGAUUAUGGAUAAAAUCUGAGAACAGAAGCCAGAUUGACUGCUUACAUUGGAUGUUUAAGCCAAAUACUGAAUGCCCCAUUCAAAAGCUGACAUAUAACUUGGUGCAUUUCUCUUGGAGGGAUGUUCUAACUGUCAGUGGAACGUCAACAAUAAAAGCAGCAGAUGGGAUCA
RNAcentral lists this long non-coding RNA (341 nucleotides) under Coturnix japonica (Japanese quail). RNAcentral's name for it is "lncRNA (ENSCJPG00005000778.1)". The record is from RNAcentral. Lineage: Eukaryota; Metazoa; Chordata; Aves; Galliformes; Phasianidae.